RNAcentral lists this ribosomal RNA (460 nucleotides) under uncultured bacterium. RNAcentral's name for it is "partial 16S ribosomal RNA". It matches the Rfam family "Bacterial small subunit ribosomal RNA", at positions 338 to 795 of the family's 1533-position model. The record is from RNAcentral.
CCUACGGGAGGCAGCAGUGAGGAAUAUUGGUCAAUGGACGAGAGUCUGAACCAGCCAAGUAGCGUGCAGGAUGACUGCCCUAUGGGUUGUAAACUUCUUUUAUAUGGGAAUAAAAUGUUCCACGUGUGGGAUUUUGUAUGUACCGUAUGAAUAAGGAUCGGCUAACUCCGUGCCAGCAGCCGCGGUAAUACGGAGGAUCCGAGCGUUAUCCGGAUUUAUUGGGUUUAAAGGGGGCGUAGGUGGAUUGUUAAGUCAGUUGUGAAAUUUUGCGGCUCAACCGUAAAAUUGCAGUUGAAACUGGCAGUCUUGAGUACAGUAGAGGUAGGCGGAAUUCGUGGUGUAGCGGUGAAAUGCUUAGAUAUCACGAAGAACUCCGAUUGCGAAGGCAGCUCACUGGACUGCAACUGACACUGAGGCUCGAAAGUGUGGGUAUCAAACAGGAUUAGAUACCCGUGUAGUC